RNAcentral lists this ribosomal RNA (438 nucleotides) under uncultured bacterium. RNAcentral's name for it is "partial 16S ribosomal RNA". It matches the Rfam family "Bacterial small subunit ribosomal RNA", at positions 339 to 795 of the family's 1533-position model. The record is from RNAcentral.
CUACGGGCUGCUCCAGUGAGGAAUAUUGCACAAUGGGGGGAACCCUGAUGCAGCAACGCCGCGUGGAGGAUGACGCAUUUCGGUGUGUAAACUCCUUUUAUAUGUCAAGAAAAUGACGGUAGCAUAUGAAUAAGCACCGGCUAACUCCGUGCCAGCAGCCGCGGUAAUACGGAGGGUGCAAGCGUUACUCGGAAUCACUGGGCGUAAAGGACGCGUAGGCGGGUUGGAAAGUCAGGUGUGAAAUCCUACAGCUUAACUGUAGAACUGCACUUGAAACUUCUAAUCUAGAGUAUGGGAGGGGGAGAUGAAAUUAGUGGUGUAGGGGUAAAAUCCGUAGAUAUCACUAGGAAUACCUAAAGCGAAGGCGAUCUCCUGGAACAUUACUGACGCUAAGGCGUGAAAGCGUGGGGAGCAAACAGGAUUAGAUACCCUGUAGUC